UAGGGAAUCUUCGGCAAUGGACGAAAGUCUGACCGAGCAACGCCGCGUGAGUGAAGAAGGUUUUCGGAUCGUAAAACUCUGUUGUUAGAGAAGAACAAGGACGUUAGUAACUGAACGUCCCCUGACGGUAUCUAACCAGAAAGCCACGGCUAACUACGUGCCAGCAGCCGCGGUAAUACGUAGGUGGCAAGCGUUGUCCGGAUUUAUUGGGCGUAAAGCGAGCGCAGGCGGUUUCUUAAGUCUGAUGUGAAAGCCCCCGGCUCAACCGGGGAGGGUCAUUGGAAACUGGGGGACUUGAGUGCAGAAGAGGAGAGUGGAAUUCCAUGUGUAGCGGUGAAAUGCGUAGAUAUAUGGAGGAACACCAGUGGCGAAGGCGGCUUUCUGGUCUGUAACUGACGCUGAGGCUCGAAAGCGUGGGGAGCAAACAGG
This 429-nucleotide ribosomal RNA is filed under the name Gemmatimonadota bacterium. RNAcentral describes it as "Gemmatimonadetes bacterium partial 16S ribosomal RNA". It matches the Rfam family "Bacterial small subunit ribosomal RNA", at positions 355 to 776 of the family's 1533-position model. The record is from RNAcentral. Lineage: Bacteria; Pseudomonadati; Gemmatimonadota.